Long non-coding RNA from Zea mays, 3059 nucleotides. RefSeq lists it as uncharacterized. Lineage: Eukaryota; Viridiplantae; Streptophyta; Magnoliopsida; Poales; Poaceae. The transcript is spliced from 6 exons. The record is from RefSeq and is a predicted model, not a curated record.
UACAUUUUUUCCAUCCAUUCAGCCUAAACUGUCAACUAAAAUCUAGGAUAUAUUAUUUCCCCCAAAACAAACCCUAACCGGCCGGCCUAAUUCUCACGCGCUCGCCACAGAUCUAGCCCUGCCGACAGCGCUCUCGUCGCCGCGUGUCCCGUUCACGUCGUCGUCCGCCCCCGGCCCUUGCCUCACCGACUCGUGGCCGUCGGCAGCUCCACAUGGGGCACGGCCACGCCUGACGCCUCCACCUCCACGACUGAGCUGACGGCUCCUCUCCAAGGGACGGUGCACGACAGCGCCAUGGCGGUUCACCGGCUCCAACCUUCCCCUUCCGGCCUAUAGUGCUCCACCGUUCGGUCACCAGUGGUCUUCUAUGGGCCACGGCUGACGGGUGCACGCACCGGUAUGCAUCCCUUGCUGUUGUAUUCCCAACGCUCUAGCUCGUGUACCAGUUGUGCAGCCUGUCGCCUAGCCCUGCUCCGGCGUGAAGUCCUGAUGCUAGACGCAAGUCCUGAUGCUUCUGGUUGUUUUGUCUUAAAUAAAGAUGCUAAUAUGCAUGUGGCUAUGUGAGGUCUAUUGCAUCCGAUUUACUGCUGCACAUUUAAGUAAUGUUGAUGAUUGAUUCAAGCAAUUUUUUACUUGGCCUUUAUAUUCUGGAUUAUGUAACCGGUUGAAACUAAGAGAUACAUGAUGAUUUGCUAAAUCAUAAAUAUAUUUAUAUUGCAUAAUCUGCUACCUAAGGCCUUAGUGCCUAACCUUAACAAAUAUUUUUUAUACUUGAUUCUAUUGUGUAGGUAUGGCUGUAAGACAGGCCGUUCAACGAGCACCUCAUUAUCCAGAGUCUCACAAUUUAAAUGGCUUGAUUUCUAAAGUCCAAUUAUAUUUCCAGUCAGCAAUCACAUAUUAACUACACAAGCAAAGUGCAGAGAUAUAUUAUGUUCUUUUUUGAAACAAGUUAUUUCUUACAAUACCCUUUUCAUUGUGUUCUUUUCAUUGUAUUUUUGCUUCAUCUAUCAUGUCACGUUGUGGACCUGGCUAGCUUCAAUCAUGCUUUUCCUUUUUCAGUUUCGCCUUUUCCAGUGGUAAUACUUGGCAGAGAAAUCCUGAGCCAAGCGCAAACCUUCUACAAGUCCUGGUAACUUAUUUUAGGGGCUAGAAACAGGCGACGACAGUUUAGGACUUGUUUUUUUACACCAAUCCAGCCCUGGAUUAGCAAUGAUUUUUAUGCAGCUCUUGUUUGUUACGACCACUCAUGGCACCAUUUAUGCAUACAUCUGAACUAUUUAUGCUGUUGAUAUGUUUCUAGUGUGGCAAUGAUUUUUUUACAUAUAGAUGCUUACCAAAAGUUCAAAAUCUUUUCGGUCGGUAGCAGUAGAAGCAGCACACCCAAUUUGUCAUACACUCUGUAAUUUUUAUUUCCUAAAUAUGUCUUUUUAUGCUAAUUUGAAUACUCUAUUAUGCCCAAUUACUAGAUCACGUGUAUGCUCCGCUUUGUAAACACGUAGACCACCAAAUUGUACAUUUUUUAUGUUCUUCCUUUUAUGCUUUUAUACUGAGUUGAAUUGGUCCUCACAUGAUCAUGCAUCAGUACCCAAUGAUUCAGACUCAUCUAAUGCUUCUGCUUCCUUACAUGAAUAUGCAUUAGCAGGUCAGUCAUCUAGCUCUACUUACUAUAACAAGCACACAUUAUCCACCGAUGUGAUUCUUAUUCCUGCUAAUUUGAAUGUGUUAUUAUGCUCAAUUAUCAGAUCUCGUGUACGCUCCGCGUUGUAAACACGUAGAACAAUUCUCCUACAUUGUUUUUGUUCUUCCUUUUAUGCUUUUACGAUGAUUUGAAUUGGUCCUUUUCAUAACAAUGCAACCCUAGUACCUAGUCCACUCUAGGAACGACGGAAGCGAGGCGAGGUGGUAGAUCCAGCACCGCUUUGGCAUGGCCAUCCAUUCCUCCACCCGGAUCGUGUACCUAGGCCUACCUCUCCUCGAGGAACGCUGUCGAGGUCGUCCGGCUGGAGCAGAAGGCGGCGUCGCUCGGCAAGCUAGUCGAGGAGGAGGAAGAAGCCCAAGUGACUCUUGAUGUCCUUAGCAAACCGAAGCACCCAGGCUUCCUUCUUCGCCACUUGUUCCCCAGCAAGGCCGGCGACAUCCCGGCAUGGCUAGACCCGGUAUAUUGCCGUCGGGAAAGUCUAGCUACAGUGGUUUCUGUGGCAAGCCUCUGCAGUUCGUCCUCUAGGCGUUUUCUUUGUGUGCAAUGAAGUUGCCACACUCGACUGCUUAUUGUUUGGAUAUCGACUUGGUCACAGUUAGGCUUGGUUGUGUUUAGAUUUAUGCACUAACUAAAGAUAAUGUAGCAGCCUUCCACCGAACGUUGUUCAUGUUCAUGUGCCCAUCCAUGGCAUGCUUGCUUCGAGAUCAACAUGAACAAUGGAAGCACAAGUACGGGAAUCCAUGUAGAAGCGUGAAGAUUUUUCGGUGCCAAUUGCCACGGAAUAAUGCCUUCUACUCAGCUCAACCUCCAAAGCAUGAUGGCUCUAACAAACCACUCUGUCUAGGAGCUCUUGUAUGCCACUGGUGUGGUACCUGGAAAGGUGAUAAAAUAUGUAGUAACUGCAAGAAAGCAAGGUAUUGUUCUGAGAAACAUCAGGUUGAUGGCUCUUGAUUGCUGUUUCUCAGGCACUGCAUUGGCGUACUAGCUGACAAUGAUAAUAUACUCAGUAUCAAAGAAUAUAGUUUUUGAAUUGUGUUUUCUGCUAGGAAUCAUAAAAGCAUAUGGAGGAACUAUGUAUAGGCUACAAAGAAGCAUUUUUAUAGCAAGAGCCAAGUGUUCUGAUGAUUUUGUUUUUUCAAUUGUGUCUUCUGUUAUUGGUUCAGCAUGCACAUAUAUUGACAUGAUUUAUGGUAUGGCAUCUGCCAUCUUUGUUAUAUUUAUGACAUCGUUCUUGAUUGAUGUGUGCGACAUGAAUGAUGGAUCUUUUUAACAUCCUGACCAUCAUUGUGUCGCUCAUUAUCGUAUUUUGUAUAUCAUUUAUGGGUUCAUGGAUAUGAAAUGACAGGUUUCUUAUUUUUGA